GACAAACAAUAACGCAAGAAUCAACAGACGUGCCUCAACUUGAAACGUAAAGCUAAAUAGCCAGCCGUUCGGACUAAAAUGUAGUUGAUCACACUAGACCGACAAUGGACCAAGAGUAGGAACUUUGUGUUAAAUCGAACUGUUCCAGGAAUUUCUGAGGGAAUCGAAAAUGGCAGUAAGAAUCUGAACGGGCUAGCGGAGCGCGGUCGUAAGCGUAAAUGGACAACAUGGAGCCUUCGAAACCGUAGCGCGCGAAACUGAAAUAAGUUAACCAACGCAGAGGGGAAGGUAUUGAAUCAAAGGUAACGAAAAAUCCAGGCACUAGAAAUAUGGGAACGGUACUAGUGACAGCUAGAAAAGAGGCCGUUUGGAUAUCGAAUGCAGCGCCGAAAAACAGACCGAGUCCUUGUCCCACUAGCGACAACCAGAUCAUAAUAACUAGCAGUUAUUGAUUGCAGAGUCAGAGACCAAUGUUUGGAAUCUGAUAUUCUAGCCCUCGAAACCCCGGCUGCCCUUCUGCUUCAACAAGGGUAUAAAGCAAUUAAAAUUUCAGGAGGUAAACAUUGAAAUUGAAACCAAAAACAAAUCAGACAUUUUUAGUUGGCUUUUUUGCUUAAUGUUAUUGUUACACUUAACUUUUGAAAACAUGGAAUGCAUAUGUUCAGGGUCAAGUUAAUGAAAUGGUUGAGUAAAAAAUGAAUUUUACAUUACUGUUGAUUGUUGAACAGGUCCCAACUCAGUUUACGAAGCGGAUGCCCCACUAUACGACCCAGACAGUGUUGCCACCGUGCAACUUUUCCCAUUUUUUGCAAGGUUUUCGUGGUUUUUCGUCUUUUUUGCAAGGUUUUCUUAAUUUUUUUUAUAAAAUCAAAGAAAUGCAUAAAUUGCAGAGUCAUAGCCACCUGGUUCCUCCAAUAGGGCUAUUAUCCCCCUCAGAAAAGGGGUAUCCUCUUGCGGGAAAUGCUAUUUUUAAAAAUGGUGUUUUGGGUCGGGACAUGGUGACGCGAGUGCCCUCUGGCUACAAACGAGUUUCUGCGUGGAGUGAAACAACACACACGCAAGAGGCACUCUCUCAGGGGUUGAAAAUCACUCUUACGCCCCAACCCAAGACCCUCGUUUUUUUGUAUAGUCUCAUCUGUCAAUCCCCUGAAUAAUAUAGAUGGUGAAAAGAGUUUUAAAAAAAUUUUAAGCCAACACUACCAUUGAAUGAUUAUAACAAUUAUCAAAUUAGUUUUACUAUUUAGAAAAACUGGUCUUGUUUACGGAACGCUCAGCGUCAACAUCUUAAUGAGAUUUAACUGCUAUGCCUAAAUACCUGAUAACCUAGUAGACUAAUUAUGUUUAAGUUUUUAAUGGAAAUAAACAACCAAGCUGAAUUUAAAAAAAAUAUAUUGAAAAUUUAAAAAAAUUGGCGCAAAAAUACGAAAAAAUUAGAUUUUGCAGGCUUUUUUGUCUACUAAAAAUCUGUUUGGAUGCGGAUGACUUCCUAAUGCUUAAAUUUCCGUUCUUAUGUCAAGGAAAAGAAUACCCUCUUCCGAUUUACCUUUGCGGAUCGAUAUAACCUCGAGAUAAGAAUAAUGCUUCACAGUUUUCUUUUAAAAAUUGAAGAUAAGUACAUUUUUAUUUCAAAGUACAAAGUUAUUAAAUUACGUGAGCAGUGAAGUUGAGGAAGUGAACAUUAUUCCGAUUGAUGCACCGGACGGCGAAGAAACUCGAACCAAAUAGCGACCACUUUUCUAAUACCUCUGCAAACAAGACAAUAAAUUACACUUCAAUUAGUUUUAAUCGUGGGCUUACAGGCAGAAAAAACCGACAGACCUAGAACUUCAGCUUUGUCCUGAGAUGGUUCAAAACGUUCAACUUGAUUGGAAAUCUUCAGUCCUAUUUUUCCAGUCCUAUUUCCUAUUUCACCACCAAUCGCACCUAAAGAUAUGAAAACAUUGUCUGACAGCAAAUAAAAACUGAAAGAAGUA
Long non-coding RNA from Daphnia magna, 1973 nucleotides. RefSeq lists it as uncharacterized. The record is from RefSeq and is a predicted model, not a curated record. Lineage: Eukaryota; Metazoa; Arthropoda; Branchiopoda; Diplostraca; Daphniidae. The transcript is spliced from 2 exons.